GAUGAACGCUGGCGGCGUGCCUAAUACAUGCAAGUCGAACGCAUAGCGAAAGGUGCUUGCACCUUUCAGGUGAGUGGCGAACGGGUGAGUAACACGUGGACAACCUGCCUCAAGGCUGGGGAUAACAUUUGGAAACAGAUGCUAAUACCGAAUAAAACUUAGUGUCGCAUGACACAAAGUUAAAAGGCGCUUCGGCGUCACCUAGAGAUGGAUCCGCGGUGCAUUAGUUAGUUGGUGGGGUAAAGGCCUACCAAGACAAUGAUGCAUAGCCGAGUUGAGAGAAUGAUCGGCCACAUUGGGACUGAGACACGGCCCAAACUCCUACGGGAGGCUGCAGUAGGGAAUCUUCCACAAUGGGCGAAAGCCUGAUGGAGCAACGCCGCGUGUGUGAUGAAGGCUUUCGGGUCGUAAAGCACUGUUGUAUGGGAAGAACAGCUAGAAUAGGAAAUGAUUUGAGUUUGACGGUACCAUACCAGAAAGGGACGGCUAAAUACGUG
This 497-nucleotide ribosomal RNA is filed under the name uncultured bacterium. RNAcentral's name for it is "partial 16S ribosomal RNA". It matches the Rfam family "Bacterial small subunit ribosomal RNA", at positions 28 to 507 of the family's 1533-position model. The record is from RNAcentral.